UACGUAGGGUGCAAGCGUUAAUCGGAAUUACUGGGCGUAAAGCGUGCGCAGGCGGUUUUGUAAGUCUGUCGUGAAAGCCCCGGGCUCAACCUGGGAAUUGCGUUGGAGACUGCAAGGCUUGAAUCUGGCAGAGGGGGGUAGAAUUCCACGUGUAGCAGUGAAAUGCGUAGAGAUGUGGAGGAACACCGAUGGUGAAGGCAGCCCCCUGGGUCAAGAUUGACGCUCAUGCACGAAAGCGUGGGGAGCAAACAGG
This 253-nucleotide ribosomal RNA is filed under the name uncultured bacterium. RNAcentral's name for it is "partial 16S ribosomal RNA". It matches the Rfam family "Bacterial small subunit ribosomal RNA", at positions 524 to 776 of the family's 1533-position model. The record is from RNAcentral.